Molecule: ribosomal RNA, 506 nt
Filed under: uncultured bacterium
Lineage: Bacteria
Description: partial 16S ribosomal RNA
Rfam family: Bacterial small subunit ribosomal RNA
Source: RNAcentral
AGUGAACGCUGGCGGUAGGCCUAACACAUGCAAGUCGAACGGCAGCACAGGAGAGCUUGCUCUCUGGGUGGCGAGUGGCGGACGGGUGAGGAAUACAUCGGAAUCUACUUUUUCGUGGGGGAUAACGUAGGGAAACUUACGCUAAUACCGCAUACGACCUACGGGUGAAAGCAGGGGACCUUCGGGCCUUGCGCGAUUGAAUGAGCCGAUGUCGGAUUAGCUAGUUGGCGGGGUAAAGGCCCACCAAGGCGACGAUCCGUAGCUGGUCUGAGAGGAUGAUCAGCCACGUUGGAACUGAAACACGGUACAGACUCCUACGGGAGGCAGCAGUGGGGAAUAUUGGGCAAUGGGCGCAAGCCUGAUUCAGCCAUACCGCGUGUGUGAAGAAGGCCUUCGGGUUGUAAAGCCCUUUUGUUGGGAAAGAAAUCCAGCUGGCUAAUACCCGGUUGGGAUGACGGUACCCAAAGAAUAAGCACCGGCUAACUUCGUGCCAGCCGCCGCAGUAA